Molecule: non-coding RNA, 215 nt
Organism: Cinara cedri
Lineage: Eukaryota; Metazoa; Arthropoda; Insecta; Hemiptera; Aphididae
Source: the annotation of a GenBank genome assembly
GGAAAGAAAAGAAGUCGCUGUAAUAGUAUCGUCUUAUAAUACAUGGAGCGUCUAUAGGCCGGUCAUUUCAGUUUUUUUGAAACGUACCGUGCCGACAACUAGGCAGACCGAUGCAUUGUAUUAGAGUUUCGCUGUAGAGUUGUUGGAAAAAAAUUUGUGUACACCCGUUAAACGGCGUAUGGCUCACGGCCGCAAACCGCGGGGGCACGCUCGAC